AUUUCCAGUUAAUUUAUUGAGAGAAGAUGAGUUAGUCUCUUUCGGAAUUGGGGAGCCCCCUCCUGGGAGGAGUAUGAAAAGAGAGGAAGACAGCUGCUGGGUAUGGAAACUUUCAAAUGCAUAAGGAAGCAGCGUAUGAGGUCACAGAAUAAAGUAAAUGGGUUUUAUACAUGUUGGAUCAUUGAAACCACAGUUAAAGAUUUAACCAUGUGAAUCAAUUAGGCUUGAUGGUCUAGCUACAAGAUUACUCUCUGCUCUAAAGGGAUUUCUACUAAGACCCAUCUGAUUUACUGAACUGUUUAGAUGGGAAAAUAUUUUUAAAUUACUUAGUGCACUAGGUCAACAAGGAUGACUUCUGUACAUACCUGCAGCUACAGUAUUUGGAGCAAGCUAAUGCUUUGGCCUGACAGAAAGAGGUUUUCUUUCUGCUGCCUGCUGUGCUGCAGAGGCUGUCAUAUGGGGGUCCCAUGCUGCGCAUUCUCUCUAUGCCUGAUGACACCUUAAUCAUGAUCAGAGAAGAUGGAGCUAUUUAUUUUUGGUCCCUGCAGCUGAAGUUGAAAAGAAGAAAGCGGGUUUUUGUAUGUGAUUUUCAUUUGAUAAGGAUGCUGAGUGCUACAGUUUGAUUUUAUUUGCUAUUUUAAACUGCUCCUUAAGUGGCGUGAUUACAUAAAUUGUGUCCUUGAAUAUAAUAUAUUCAUGUUGGAUUUCGCUAGUCUAUGGAAUGCAAAUAAAAUAUGAUCUCUGUAUGUCGUA
Galeopterus variegatus (Sunda flying lemur) is the source of this 753-nucleotide long non-coding RNA. RefSeq lists it as uncharacterized. The transcript is spliced from 3 exons. NCBI's taxonomy places the organism in Eukaryota, Metazoa, Chordata, Mammalia, Dermoptera, Cynocephalidae. The record is from RefSeq and is a predicted model, not a curated record.